Molecule: ribosomal RNA, 276 nt
Filed under: Triticum aestivum (bread wheat)
Lineage: Eukaryota; Viridiplantae; Streptophyta; Magnoliopsida; Poales; Poaceae
Description: partial small subunit ribosomal RNA
Source: RNAcentral
AUGGAGGGAGGGAGGGAGGAGCUAGGUAGCAACUGGACAAAGGAAAGCAUUGGGGCAUGGUGUGCAUUUUCGAGAGGGGCGUUGGACGGUGGUGGUGAGUGGGAUACAGAGGGGACUGUUUUUUGGCUCUUGUUCCUCUGGCCAUGUGGCGUGAGGGGUGCCAUACCAUACCCACAUCGCAUGCAGUGCAUGAUGAGGGAGAGGGGUAAAAAGGAGAGGAGGCAAGUUCAGAAAAGAGACUGUUCUUUCCUUUGGGGCUGGUUGGGGCUCAUGUGA